GAUGAACGCUGGCGGCGUGCCUAAUACAUGCAAGUCGAGCGAACAGACGAGGAGCUUGCUCCUCUGACGUUAGCGGCGGACGGGUGAGUAACACGUGGAUAACCUACCUAUAAGACUGGGAUAACUUCGGGAAACCGGAGCUAAUACCGGAUAAUAUAUUGAACCGCAUGGUUCAAUAGUGAAAGACGGUUUUGCUGUCACUUAUAGAUGGAUCCGCGCCGCAUUAGCUAGUUGGUAAGGUAACGGCUUACCAAGGCGACGAUGCGUAGCCGACCUGAGAGGGUGAGGGGCAACAGUGGAACGAAAACACGGCCCAGCCCCAGAGGGGAGGAACAAAGGGGGAUUCUUCCAAAAGGGGAAAAGGCCGGAGGGAGAAACGCCGCGGGAGUAAGAAAGGUCUUCGGAUAGAAAAACUUUGUUAUGAGGGAAAAAAAAAGGUGAAAAAAAAAAGGCACGUCUGAAGGAAACAUAAUAAGAAGAACAGGAAAAACAAGGGC
This 497-nucleotide ribosomal RNA is filed under the name uncultured bacterium. RNAcentral describes it as "partial 16S ribosomal RNA". It matches the Rfam family "Bacterial small subunit ribosomal RNA", at positions 28 to 508 of the family's 1533-position model. The record is from RNAcentral.